Molecule: unclassified non-coding RNA, 285 nt
Filed under: uncultured fungus
Lineage: Eukaryota; Fungi
Description: sequence contains ITS2
Rfam family: 5.8S ribosomal RNA (bases 1-52)
Source: RNAcentral
AACGCAUCUUGCGCCCGGUGGUAUUCCGCCGGGCAUGCCUGUCUGAGUGUCAUUACUAUCUCAACCCUAGCGAUGUUGUCAUGACGUUGCUAAGCGGAUUGGAACCUGGACUUGGCGGGGUUCGCCCUGCCGGUCUUAAAUGGAGUAGGCUAGCCGACUAUCAGCGGUUUGACCGGGUGUUGUAGAGUCGCCUCACUCGGGACGCUGAUCGGAUUAGUUGGAUUGUAAUUGUAUUACUCGAGCGAUUUAGACCUCAGAUCAGGUAGGAUUACCCGCUGAACUUAA